RNAcentral lists this ribosomal RNA (497 nucleotides) under uncultured bacterium. RNAcentral describes it as "partial 16S ribosomal RNA". It matches the Rfam family "Bacterial small subunit ribosomal RNA", at positions 28 to 507 of the family's 1533-position model. The record is from RNAcentral.
GAUGAACGCUGGCGGCGUGCCUAAUACAUGCAAGUCGAGCGAACAGACGACGAGCUUGCCCCUCUGACGUUAACGGCGGACGGGUGAGUAACACGUGGAUAACCUACCUAUAAGACUGGGAUAACUUCGGGAAACAGGAGCUAAUACCGGAUAAUAUAUUGAACCGCAUGGUUCAAUAGUGAAAGACGGUUUUGCUGUCACUUAUAGAUGGAUCCGCGCCGCAUUAGCUAGUUGGUAAGGUAACGGCUUACCAAGGCAACGAUGCGUAGCCGACCUGAGAGGGUGAUCGGCCACACUGGAACUGAGACACGGUCCAGACUCCUACGGGAGGCAGCAGUAGGGAAUCUUCCGCAAUGGGCGAAAGCUUGACGGAGCAACGCCGCGUGAGUGAUGAAGGUCUUCGGAUCGUAAACCUCUGUUAUUAGGGAAGAACAAAUGUGUAAGUAACUAUGCACGUCUUGACGGUACCUGAUCAGAAAGCCACGGCUAACUACGUG